RNAcentral lists this ribosomal RNA (463 nucleotides) under uncultured Methanolinea sp. RNAcentral describes it as "bacterial SSU rRNA". It matches the Rfam family "Archaeal small subunit ribosomal RNA", at positions 877 to 1338 of the family's 1478-position model. Lineage: Archaea; Methanobacteriati; Methanobacteriota; Methanomicrobia; Methanomicrobiales; Methanoregulaceae. The record is from RNAcentral.
CGACCACAACGGGUGGAGCCUGCGGUUAAUUGGACUCAACGCCGGGCAGCUCACCGGAUAAGACAGCUGGAUGAUAGCCGGGCUGAAGACUCUGCUUGACUAGCUGAGAGGAGGUGCAUGGCCGUCGUCAGUUCGUACUGUGAAGCAUCCUGUUAAGUCAGGCAACGAGCGAGACCCACGCCAACAGUUGCCAGCAUGUCCUCCGGGAUGAUGGGGGACACUGUUGGGACCGCCUCUGCUAAAGAGGAGGAAGGAAUGGGCAACGGUAGGUCAGCAUGCCCCGAAUUAUCCGGGCUACACGCGGGCUACAAUGGUCAGGACAAUGGGUAUCGACACCGAGAGGUGGAGGCAAUCUCCUAAACCUGUCCUUAGUUCGGAUUGUGGGCUGCAACUCGCCCACAUGAAGCUGGAAUCCGUAGUAAUCGCGUUUCAAAAUAGCGCGGUGAAUAUGUCCCUGCUCCUU